GCCCGGUUAGCUCAGUCGGUAGAGCAUCAGACUUUUAAUCUGAGGGCCGUGGGUUCAAGUCCCACAUCGGGCG
RNAcentral lists this transfer RNA (73 nucleotides) under Exaiptasia diaphana. RNAcentral describes it as "tRNA-Lys". It matches the Rfam family "tRNA". From Rfam's summary of the family: Transfer RNA (tRNA) molecules are approximately 80 nucleotides in length. Lineage: Eukaryota; Metazoa; Cnidaria; Anthozoa; Actiniaria; Aiptasiidae. The record is from Rfam by way of RNAcentral.